GCUUGUCAGCCUCUCAGCUUUUAGGGAGGUCCUCUCUCUCCUGUGUUCUGUGCACACUACCGCAGAGGUCUUAGAAUUAAUUGCCUCCAUGGGAGAUAUUCAAGGAGAGGGGCUGGCCUGUGAUGAUGAUGAUGCCCCAGAUCCUGAAGGCAGGGAAUCAGGGACGGCAAAGUCACAGCACCCACACUAUCGGUCCCCUGCCCAACCCCCCGUGACAACUGUCGGCACUUGAUGUCAGACCGCCUGAUCUCAACCGGAGUUCCUCAUCAGAAUCAGAGAACAGAAAUGACCAUUUUCUUGAUCGCCCUAAGAAUUUACACAACUCAUCACACUGUAGAUGCACAAGGGAGAAGUUAAUGCAUUAUAACCAGUACCUUGGGGCCUUGGGGCUUGCUUCUCUGGGGAACCCCACGUGCAAUCUGACAGUCCUUCUCGACAGGUAACACUGGGCAGUGACUAGCUAUCCCAGCAGGUUGGUGAACGAGCUGAAGUUUAUUUGCCACCCCGGCCAUUUGGUGACCCAAGGGAAAUGAAAGGCUACAGAAAAAGUUCAGAUUAAUCUUUCCACUGGGGGCUUCUGAGAGCUACAGCCCGGAGGUGCAGCAGGAAGACACAAAAGGAAACUGGGGGUCGUAAUCAAUUUUCCUUAUAACAGUGUCAUGUUUGUUAUAUUUGUAGAUACCGUGGCAGGCAGAUUUCUAAGAUGGCUCCCAGAUUCCUGCCCCAGGGGUCACACACCAUAUAAUCCCCUCCCCAGGACAGUGGGUGGAGUGGGUGGGACAUGAGAGCAUGGUGGCAUUUCUGUCCUCUGUUUGGGUUACACUGUGUGACAAAGGUGAAGGGACUUCUCAGACGUGCCUAAGUAGUUGACUCUGUGUUCAUCAAAAGGAAGGGUAUCAUCAGGGUGGGCCUGACCCAAUCAGGUAAACACUUUAAAAGAGGGUUUAGACACCUGAGUGUCUCGGUCAGCUAAGCGUCCGACUUCAGUGCUGGUCAUGAUCGCAUGGUUCAUGAGUUCGAGCCCCACAUCGGGGUCUUUGCUGUCAGCACACAACCUGCUUUGGAUCCUCUGUCCCCCCUCUCUCUCAAAAAUAAAAAGUAACCUUAAAGAAACUAACUGCCAUAUUUGGAGAGGAUCACAUAGCAAAGAAAUAUGUGUAGCCUCUAGGCGCUGAGGGCCUCAGUCUUACAGUUGCAAAGAACUGAAUUCUGCCAACAAUUGGAGAGCUUGGAAGAGGACCCGGACCCUCAGGUGUGAUAGCACUCUUGACCACCAGCACUUGGAUUUCAGCAUUGUGAGACUCCGAGCUGAGAAAGCCAGAAAGGAAAACGAGAAGUCUGAAUUCACUUGAAACGAAUACAACAUACACUAUGUAGUCUUGCCCCAUAAAGAAGAAUGAAGCUAUGUGCCAAAUGAGCAUCAGGACCUAGGUAAUCUAUGCCAAAGUGACCUGGACUAUCUACACAUUUCAAAGGACGUCACAUUGGUUCACUGUAUCGAUGGCAUCGCGUUGGUCAGAUCAGGUGAGCAAGAAGUGGCAAAUAUGUGGGAGUCUUGGUAAGUCACACGUGUUCAAAAGGGUGGGAAAUCCGUCUUGUGAAGAUUUAGGGGUCCACCAGAUCAGUGAAGUUUGCCUAGUUUGGAAGGCAAGUGGACAAAUGCGCGCAUACAGCCUGAGAAGGACAGGUGUCCAGGAGCUCAGGGUCUGGUCACACCACUAGGUAAACCAUCUAGACCAGCAGCGAUGCUAGCUGGGGGGCAACCCUCACCCAUCUAGGAUGGAUAGGAGAGGAGGGAGACCAUGAGUGUGAGUUGCUACCUUGGGACGGGCUACAGUGGCAGGGGCUAGGGUUUGCCCCUUUGCUUUUCUUUGACACGAAGUGAAAGAAUCUAAGUGGCCCAGGGGCAGAUCAUAGGGGGACCUGAGGUGUACAAUCCAGAUCCUCUGCUUCCGGACUGAAGCAUCCUUCUGGCAGCUGCUGGAAGUGUUGAUGACUGAUAGCUCAGCUGGGCUCCCCACUGCCACAAUGGUCCUUAGCUGAAGAGAGUCCCUCACCUGGGGUCAUAUCUCCUUACCUGAGCAGCCUGCAUAUAAUGACCAGCAGCCUGCAUACAAUGACUAGUUAACACAGGGCUAUAAAGGCCUGGUCCCUUUGCCCCAAGUGAGAACAACUCCCGUGCCAUCCCAGCUCCAGAGUCUCCCCAAAUGGGCUGAGGCCUUUGCUGUGACUGUAUCACAGCUGAGCUCUGGUCCCUUCACUUUCCCACAGCUACUGAUCGUCAAAGCACCCCAUAUACUAACCUCCAUUUCACAGUUUGCUUCCCAUGGAACCCAACCUUCAACACGUAACAUAGCCUUGUACAUCUCAUUUUUGUAAGAAAAUAUGUUAAGGGGAGCCUGGGUGGCUCAGUCAGUUUAGUGACCAACUCUUGGUUUUGUCUCAGCUCAUGAUUUCGCAGUCUGUGGGGUCGAGCCCGCGCUGUUCCGUGCGGAGCCCCCUCGGGGUUCUCUUUCUCCCUCUGCCUCUACCCCAUCCUUCAAAAUAAAUAAAUAAACUUUUUUAAGAAAAUA
This is a long non-coding RNA of Felis catus (domestic cat), 2573 nucleotides long. RefSeq lists it as uncharacterized. NCBI's taxonomy places the organism in Eukaryota, Metazoa, Chordata, Mammalia, Carnivora, Felidae. The transcript is spliced from 2 exons. The record is from RefSeq and is a predicted model, not a curated record.